AGGAAAACUUACAGCCUCCAUCACUCUUCAGGAGAGUGGCAGUCAAGGAGUAAGACUCAAGGAAAGGUCAGUGCUUGGUUGAGAGCCUAAAUCUUUACCUUGGGUUGCAAGUGAACAUUUGGGAAGAGCCCAUGGCCUGGAGAGAGAGCUAGUGGCCAGGAAGAGCAAACAAAUGGAUUGCCACUGCCACCUGCCACAUUGGGCUGCCACUGGCAGAGCUGCUGAGUCUGCAGGUGCAGUGAUUAUGCUGUGAAAGAUUCAAAUAGGACAACCCUAUGUAGCAGUGGCCAGGGGGCAGGCUUUGAAGAACAAGCUGCCAUGAAUCCUGCAGCUACAAGGAAAUGAACUCUAUUAACUUGAGUGAGCUUAAAACUAGAUCCUUCCCCAGUCAAGCCUCCAGGUGAGAAUUCAAUCCUGGCUGGCACCUGGAUUGCAGCUUACAGAAGACCCAGCUAAGGCCAUGUCUGGACUUUAAAUCCACAGGAACUGCAAGAUGGUAUCAGAAGUGGGACCUGCAGUGGGGCAUCUAGCAACCCCCAGGAGCAUUGAGUGACCAGGCUUGGGACCCACCGGGCGCAGGGUGUCCAUUGUUCUCUCGAAGCAACUGAGAAUUGUGGAUAUUCUUCAUUAUUCCAUCAUCAUCUCAAACCUCUUGGGUAUAGUGUUUGACUACUACUGUGACCAUAAAUUCCAAUAAAACCUAGGAAAAAUGAAACCACUACAUUAACUGAAAGGGAAGGAUUUGACAGCUUCUUUUGGGCAUAUCAGAAUCGCCAGCAUCACUACUCUUGCACUGUGCGGCCAUUAUUAAGUGAAAUAAGGAUUACUUGAACACAAGCACUGCAAUGCCGCUACAGUCAAUGUGAUAACCCAGCUGGUGACUAAGUGACCAAGGACGGGGAGUAUCUACAGCGGGGAGACUCUGGAAAAAGGGAGGAUUCACAUCCAGUGCCACUGGGGCAGGGCAGAAUGAGAGUUCAUCAUGCUACAAAGAAUGGCACAGAAUAUACGACUUGUGAGUGGAUUAUCUCUGGAAUUUUCUGUUGACUACAUUUGUACUACAGUUGUAUGUGGGUAACAAACUGUGGAAAGUGAAACUUCGGGUAAGGGGGAGGCUACCGUAGAUAGCCCAGUAUUUCUUAUUUUGUGGAUUUGUUUAUCUUUCUGCUCACAUCCUUUUCCUUCUGCAUUACCAUUUUAGUAAAAAUAGAUAGCAUCCAUUU
Molecule: long non-coding RNA, 1223 nt
Filed under: Homo sapiens (human)
Lineage: Eukaryota; Metazoa; Chordata; Mammalia; Primates; Hominidae
Description: HSALNT0347225
Source: RNAcentral